GAUCCGGAGGAUCUGGCUGGCUAGGUGGGCAUCACUUUCCUUUCUCGCCACGCCAUGGUGGUCCCAGCUGAAGCUAGCCACUCGAAAAGAACCAUCUUCCCCAACACAGAGGGCCAGGCUUUGGUCAGGGGUACUGUGAGCAGCUGCAUGACCCGGCUGGAACCUCCAAACAAGCACUCAAGCAGCUAUUUCUUCAGGAGAUGAGCAGACGGGAAAGCCUUCAGCAAAUCCGCAGCGCUUCCAUGCUGUGGCUGCCCCCUGC
Molecule: small nuclear RNA, 262 nt
Filed under: Jaculus jaculus (lesser Egyptian jerboa)
Lineage: Eukaryota; Metazoa; Chordata; Mammalia; Rodentia; Dipodidae
Description: 7SK RNA (ENSJJAG00000008481.1)
Rfam family: 7SK RNA
About the family: 7SK was discovered as an abundant small nuclear RNA in the mid-70s but a possible function has only recently been suggested. Two independent studies have found that 7SK RNA binds the CDK9/cyclin T complex (known as elongation factor P-TEFb).
Source: RNAcentral